This 482-nucleotide ribosomal RNA is filed under the name uncultured bacterium. Its description in RNAcentral is "partial 16S ribosomal RNA". It matches the Rfam family "Bacterial small subunit ribosomal RNA", at positions 30 to 505 of the family's 1533-position model. The record is from RNAcentral.
AUUGAACGCUGGCGGCAGGCCUAACACAUGCAAGUCGAGCGGAUGAAGGGAGCUUGCUCCUGGAUUCAGCGGCGGACGGGUGAGUAAUGCCUAGGAAUCUGCCUGGUAGUGGGGGAUAACGUCCGGAAACGGGCGCUAAUACCGCAUACGUCCUGAGGGAGAAAGUGGGGGAUCUUCGGACCUCACGCUAUCAGAUGAGCCUAGGUCGGAUUAGCUAGUUGGUGGGGUAAAGGCCUACCAAGGCGACGAUCCGUAACUGGUCUGAGAGGAUGAUCAGUCACACUGGAACUGAGACACGGUCCAGACUCCUACGGGAGGCAGCAGUGGGGAAUAUUGGACAAUGGGCGAAAGCCUGAUCCAGCCAUGCCGCGUGUGUGAAGAAGGUCUUCGGAUUGUAAAGCACUUUAAGUUGGGAGGAAGGGCAGUAAGUUAAUACCUUGCUGUUGUGACGGUACCAACAGAAUAAGCACCGGCUAACUUCG